RNAcentral lists this ribosomal RNA (337 nucleotides) under uncultured Thiobacillus sp. RNAcentral describes it as "bacterial SSU rRNA". It matches the Rfam family "Bacterial small subunit ribosomal RNA", at positions 1052 to 1382 of the family's 1533-position model. Lineage: Bacteria; Pseudomonadati; Pseudomonadota; Betaproteobacteria; Nitrosomonadales; Thiobacillaceae. The record is from RNAcentral.
UCGUCAGCUCGUUGUCGUGAGUAUUGGUUUGGGUUAACGUCCCGCAACGAGCCGCCAACCCUUAUUGUUUAGUUGCCAUCACUCAGUUUGGGCACUCUAGCGAGACUGCCGGUAAUAACCGGAGAAGGUGGGGAUGACGUCAAGUCCUCAUGGCCCUUAUGGGUAGGGCUUCACACGUCAUACAAUGGUCGGUACAGAGGGUUGCCAAGCCGCGAGGCGGAGCCAGUCCCACAAAGCCGAUCGUAGUCCGGAUUGUUCUCUGCAGCUCGAGAGCAUGAAGUCGGAAUCGCUAGUAAUCGCAGGUCAGCAUACUGCGGUGAAUACGUUCCCGGGUCUU